Molecule: ribosomal RNA, 417 nt
Filed under: uncultured bacterium
Lineage: Bacteria
Description: bacterial SSU rRNA
Rfam family: Bacterial small subunit ribosomal RNA
Source: RNAcentral
AACGCGAAGAACCUUACCUGGCCUUGACAUCCAGAGAACUUAGCAGAGAUGCUUUGGUGCCUUCGGGAACUCUGAGACAGGUGCUGCAUGGCUGUCGUCAGCUCGUGUUGUGAAAUGUUGGGUUAAGUCCCGCAACGAGCGCAACCCUUAUCCUUUGUUGCCAGCGGUUCGGCCGGGAACUCAAAGGAGACUGCCGGUGAUAAACCGGAGGAAGGUGGGGAUGACGACAAGUCAUCAUGGCCCUUACGGCCAGGGCUACACACGUGCUACAAUGGCGCAUACAAAGAGAAGCGACCUCGCGAGAGCAAGCGGACCUCAUAAAGUGCGUCGUAGUCCGGAUUGGAGUCUGCAACUCGACUCCAUGAAGUCGGAAUCGCUAGUAAUCGUAGAUCAGAAUGCUACGGUGAAUACGUUCCC